This 120-nucleotide ribosomal RNA is filed under the name Helianthus annuus (common sunflower). Lineage: Eukaryota; Viridiplantae; Streptophyta; Magnoliopsida; Asterales; Asteraceae. The record is from RNAcentral.
GGUUGCGAUCAUGACCAGCACUAAUGCACCGGAUCCCAUCAGAACUCCGCAGUUAAGCGUGCUUGGGCGAGAGUAGUACUAGGAUGGGUGACCCCUGGGAAGUCCUCGUGUUGCAACCCC